RNAcentral lists this ribosomal RNA (689 nucleotides) under uncultured Actinobacteridae bacterium. RNAcentral's name for it is "bacterial SSU rRNA". It matches the Rfam family "Bacterial small subunit ribosomal RNA", at positions 95 to 798 of the family's 1533-position model. The record is from RNAcentral. Lineage: Bacteria; Bacillati; Actinomycetota; Actinomycetes.
GUGGCGAACGGGUGAGUAACACGUGAGCAAUCUGCCCUUGACUCUGGGAUAACUGCGGGAAACUGUAGCUAAUACCGGAUACUUUCCUCGCUGGGCAUCCAGCGGGGAAGGAAGAAUUUCGGUCAAGGAUGAGCUCGCGGCCUAUCAGCUAGUUGGUGAGGUAAAGGCUCACCAAGGCGACGACGGGUAGCCGGCCUGAGAGGGUGACCGGCCACACUGGAACUGAGACACGGUCCAGACUCCUACGGGAGGCAGCAGUGGGGAAUAUUGCACAAUGGGCGAAAGCCUGAUGCAGCAACGCCGCGUGAGGGAUGAAGGCCUUCGGGUUGUAAACCUCUUUUAGCAGGGAAGAAGCGAAAGUGACGGUACCUGCAGAAAAAGCACCGGCUAACUACGUGCCAGCAGCCGCGGUAAUACGUAGGGUGCAAGCGUUGUCCGGAAUUAUUGGGCGUAAAGAGCUCGUAGGCGGUUUGUCACGUCUGCUGUGAAAAUCCGAGGCUCAACCUCGGACUUGCAGUGGGUACGGGCAGGCUAGAGUGCGGUAGGGGAGAAGGGAAUUCCUGGUGUAGCGGUGGAAUGCGCAGAUAUCAGGAGGAACACCGAUGGCGAAGGCACUUCUCUGGGCCGUAACUGACGCUGAGGAGCGAAAGCGUGGGGAGCGAACAGGAUUAGAUACCCUGGUAGUCCAC